GAAAGGGGACGUGGCCAACACCUUGACUGACCCUUGAUCGAGCCAAUCAGAACAGCUGUUAGAAAGACGAGAUAUGAGAGCCGUGAUGCGUUUGGACGAAUCUAUUGUGAUCCAUUAAGAGCUUCCAUGUUGACGGUGGCUCCUCAUUGGAUGACCCAUGGCCAGUGCCUCUUUACACACAAAGCAUCAGGAGCUAUAAGGAUACAGCUGAACAUAGAGUACCACCUUCUAUAUGAACCAAACCAAACAAUUUCUUUUAGUCCUAUUUGGUAUUACCAGCAAUCAUGGGCUUUCUCUGCCAAAUGUCCUUGGAUUCAGUCAACAUGAUGUCCAGUGAAGCAUGGUCAGGAGGGUUCACCAGCCUGAAGGGUAAGCUGCACUGGGGGAAACUCCAAGAGUGUUCGCUGUGAACUGAGAGCUACCAGACUUUGUGAAAAAGGAUCUAAGGCAGGCGUAGGGCACUCACCCCAGCACAGCUGUGAGGAUCAGCUCAGAACGGGAAGAUUUUAGUGCGAGGGAACCCUCAGGAAUAAUGUAUAUAUCAUCUAUAAUCACUCAGAAUGUUUUUAAUUCUCACCCUUAAAUAUGUGGUUACAUUUAUAGAUGAUGUAAGUGUAGUAUUUAAACAGGAACAUUCACAGCUAAGUCCCAGACUAAAAUGCAUGUUUGAGCUGUUUUAACGGAAAGCAACUGAAAGCGUGUUAUUGUUUUUCCCCCCGCAUGUUUAUAAAAGCUACUUGUCCUAAUUGAACAAAGGCCUAAUCCAGGUUAAACUAAGCCCUGAAACCAGGCCUUAAAGUUUGGGAAAUGAAACUAGAUGUAUAGAAUGUGAUAUUUGCAAUUACUUGUACAAAAUCCACUCUAAGAAUAACAAAAAUGUCAUUAUACAAUAUCAAUAUAAUUUAUAUAUAUAUAUAUUUGUAUUGGAUCUGUUCUGGAUCUGAUUCUUUAUUUAACCACAAUUUAAUUUGACACUCUACAGUUUUUCUUAUUUACACACCACUGUAUAAAAAAUGAAGUUUUUUUCAAAGAUUAUUGGAGUUUUACUUAAAAAAAUACUAGUUAUUGUACUUCAAAAUUUCACAUUUAAUUCAAUCCGAGUGAAAAAAAAAAUCCCAGUGAAACAUAUACCGUACAUACUGUAUACUGUUAUCAUAUUCCCAUCUUCAAAGUGUCCAUGAUACUGUACUUUGUGAUACAAAUAUAAUGUAUUUGUUUUCGAUAUGUAAAAAAA
Molecule: long non-coding RNA, 1234 nt
Organism: Pimephales promelas (fathead minnow)
Lineage: Eukaryota; Metazoa; Chordata; Actinopteri; Cypriniformes; Leuciscidae
Source: RefSeq, a predicted model, not a curated record